UAAAAACAAAUAGCAGCAUGUAUAGGUUCCAAAAUAUCCAUAUUUGGAUAUUUUGGAACCUAUACAUGCUGCUAUUUGUUUUUA
Pelobates cultripes (western spadefoot toad) is the source of this 84-nucleotide non-coding RNA. The record is from the annotation of a GenBank genome assembly. Lineage: Eukaryota; Metazoa; Chordata; Amphibia; Anura; Pelobatidae.